AGAGUUUGAUCCUGGCUCAGGAUAAACGCUGGCGGCGCACAUAAGACAUGCAAGUCGAACGAACCAAAUAUGUAGCUUGCUAUAUAAGAGGUUAGUGGCGGACUGGUGAGUAACACGUAAGGAACCUGGCUAUUAGAGAGGAAUACCUUUGAGAAAUCAGAGCUAAUACCUCAUAUGCCUUAGUCAUUGCAUGAUGAUAGAGGGAAAGGAGAAAUCCGCUAAUAGAUGGCCUUGCGUCUGAUUAACUAGUUGGUGAGAUAACAGCCCACCAAGGUAACGAUCAGUAGCCGGACUGAGAGGUUGAACGGCCACAUUGGGACUGAGAUACGGCCCAGACUCCUACGGGAGGCAGCAGUCGGGAAUAUUGCGCAAUGGAGGAAACUCUGACGCAGUGACGCCGCGUAUAGGAAGAAGGUUUUCGGAUUGUAAACUAUUGUCGAUAGGGAAGAAGAAAAGACGGUACCUAUCAAGAAAGCUCCGGCUAACUACGUGCCAGCAGCCGCGGUAAUACGUAGGGAGCAAGCGUUAUCCGGAAUUAUUGGGUGUAAAGGGUGCGUAGACGGGAAGACAAGUUAGUUGUGAAAUACCAUAGCUCAACUGUGGAACUGCAACUAAAACUAUCAUUCUUGAGUGCAGGAGAGGAAAGUGGAACUCCUAGUGUAGCGGUGAAAUGCGUAGAUAUUAGGAAGAAUACCGGUGGCGAAGGCGACUUUCUGGACUGUAACUGACGUUGAGGCACGAAAGUGUGGGGAGCAAACAGGAUUAGAUACCCUGGUAGUCCACACUGUAAACGAUGGAUA
Molecule: ribosomal RNA, 800 nt
Filed under: uncultured bacterium
Lineage: Bacteria
Description: bacterial SSU rRNA
Rfam family: Bacterial small subunit ribosomal RNA
Source: RNAcentral